ACAGCAGCAGCCACGGUAAUACGUAGGGUGCAAGCGUUAAUCGGAAUUACUGGGCGUAAAGCGUGCGCAGGCGGUUAUAUAAGACAGAUGUGAAAUCCCCGGGCUCAACCUGGGAACUGCAUUUGUGACUGUAUAGCUAGAGUACGGCAGAGGGGGAUGGAAUUCCGCGUGUAGCAGUGAAAUGCGUAGAUAUGCGGAGGAACACCGAUGGCGAAGGCAAUCCCCUGGGCCUGUACUGACGCUCAUGCACGAAAGCGUGGGGAGCAAACAGGAUUAGAUACCCGGGUAGUCCCUGUCUCUUAUAC
Molecule: ribosomal RNA, 305 nt
Filed under: uncultured bacterium
Lineage: Bacteria
Description: partial 16S ribosomal RNA
Rfam family: Bacterial small subunit ribosomal RNA
Source: RNAcentral